UGCGUAGGCGGUUCUUUGUGUCCGCUGUGAAAUCCCCGGGCUUAACCUGGGAAUUGCAGUGGAAACUAGAGGACUCAGAAUCCGGCAGAGGGGGGUGGAAUGCCACGUGUAGCAGUGAAAUGCGUAGAGAUGUGGCGGAACACCGAUGGCGAAGGCAGCCCCCUGGGCUGAGAUUGACGCUCAGGCACGAAAGCGUGGGGAGCAAACAGGAUUAGAUACCCUGGUAGUCCACGCCCUAAACGAUGAUCACUAGGUGUUGGGGAAGCGAUUUCCUAGUACCGCAGCUAACGCUGAAGUGAUCCGCCUGGGGAGUACGGUCGCAAGAUUAAA
RNAcentral lists this ribosomal RNA (330 nucleotides) under uncultured bacterium. RNAcentral's name for it is "bacterial SSU rRNA". It matches the Rfam family "Bacterial small subunit ribosomal RNA", at positions 568 to 898 of the family's 1533-position model. The record is from RNAcentral.